AUAUCCAUCGGUGGAAUGCGUAGCAGCUCCUACACUCUUAUCCGUAGAAAUCUGCAUAUCCACUACUGUCGAGCUUGCCACCAACUGCAGCAAUGUCUUCGACCACCCCCCCUCCGCCGGCGUCACAGAACCCAGAGGCGCCUCCGGGAGUCGUCCGCCUGCUGCGGAGGCGUCCACCGAGGUCGACUGGACCGCCGCCGUGGGCCAAGCGGCGGCCCUCCGUCUCCGUCGACUACGACCGCGGCCGCCGCACAGUCCGGGUCGAGGUGGACGGCUUAGGUGGCGAUGCGCUCCCCGCGCGGCACCGCCUCCGUGUGGAGGGGAGCCGGUGGCAGCGGGACUGGAAGGUGUCACAGGUGGCCGCGCGCGUGCUCGCUCUCCCGCGGGCCGACCCCCAUGCCGUCGACGCCGUGCUCAACUGCUGGGCCGGACGCUUCGCUCGCCGAAACUUCCCUCUCCUUAUUCGUGAAAUGGCUUUUUCUGGGUCCUUGGAACAUGCUGUAUAUGUGUUCUGCUGGAUGAAAAACCAGGAGAACUACUGUGCUCGUAAUGACAUUUAUGGUAUGAUGAUACAAUUACAUGCCAGACACAACCAGGUUGAUCAAGCACGUGGCCUGUUCUUUGAGAUGCAAGAAUGGCGGUGCAAGCCAGAUGCUGAUAUAUACAACUCUUUGAUCAAUGCUCAUGCUCGGGCUGGUCUAUGGCGCUGGGCCAUCAACAUUAUGGAUGAUAUGCUUCGUGCUGCUAUACCUCCUAGCCGAGCUACAUAUAAUAAUGUCGUAAAUGCAUGUGGUGCUGCUGGUAACUGGAAAAAGGCUUUAGAACUUUGUAAGAAGAUGAUAAGAAAUGGUGUAGGGCCAGACUUGGUUACGCACAAUAUUGUAUUAUCUGCUUUCAAGAAUGGCUUUCAGUAUACGAAAGCCACAGGUUACUUUGAAAUGAUGAAAGGAGCAAAUAUUGCCCCUGAUACUUUCACUUUAAAUAUUGUCAUCCAUUGCCUUGUAAAAGUCGGACAGCACGGAGAUGCUGUUGAUUUGUUAAACUCGAUGAGGGAGAAAAGAGUACAGUGUUCUCCAGAUGUUGUUACGUACACUAGCAUAAUACAUUCUUAUUAUGUUUGUGGGCAAGUGGAAAAUUGCAAGGCAGUCUUUGAUAUGAUGGUUGCUGAAGGAGUUAAACCUAAUAUUGUAUCAUAUAAUGCACUUUUGGGUGCUUAUGCCUCACAUGGGAUGCACACUGAGGCCUUCGGAAUUUUCAAGUUACUGAAACAAAAUGGUCUGCGACCUGAUGUAGUUUCCUAUACCACUUUACUGAAUGCCUAUGGUAGGUCAGCACAGCCUGAAAAAGCUAGGGAGGUUUUUAACGAGAUGAGGAAGAACUCAUGCAAGCCAAACAAAGUCAGUUAUAAUGCACUAAUUGAUGCUUAUGGAUCUGCCGGAAUGUUCAAGGAGGCCAUUAGCUUACUGCAUGAAAUGGAGAAGGAUGGCAUUCCACCAGACGUUGUUUCAAUAAGUACUCUGUUGGCUGCCUGUGGCCGCUGCAGGCAAACAACAAAAAUUGACACAGUUCUUGAAGCAGCAAAAUUUCGAGGGAUUGAACUUAAUAUAGUUGCGUACAACUCGGGCAUCGGAAGCUAUUUAAGUUUUGGAGAUUAUGAGAAAGCUUUGAAGUUGUACGCAACAAUGAUGGCAAGCAAUGUGAAUCCAGAUGCUGUAACUUACAAUAUACUCAUCAGCGGAUUGUGUAAAUUGGGAAAAUAUGCAGAAUCUCUGAAAUUUUUUGAAGACAUGGUGGACCUGCGAAUUCCUUUAACCAAGGAGGUUUACUCGUCCUUGAUUUGUUCAUAUGUCAAACAGGACAAACUAGCUGAAGCGGAAUCUACUUUUAUUAAUAUGAAAGCAUCUGGCUGCUUCCCUGAUGUUCUGACAUAUACUGCUAUGAUUCAAGCCUAUACUGAUCAUGGGAGUUGGACGAGUGUGUGGGACCUAUUCAAAGAGAUGGAAGGAAAUGCUAUACUGCCAGAUGCCAUUAUAUGCUCAUCCCUCAUGGAAGCAUUGAACAAAGGAAAUCAAUAUGGAAGGGUCCUUCAGUUGAUGAAAUUCAUGCACGAUCAAUGCAUUCAAUUGAACCAAAAAGCUUAUUUUGAAAUAAUAGCUUCAUGCAGCAUGCUACGGGACUGGAAAACUGCAAGUGAAAUAAUUGAACAUUUGGAUUCCUCUCUGCCAUCCAUUUCUGUUGGGAAGCUAAACUAUCUUCUAAAUUUUCUUGGAAAAUGUGGGAAGACAGAGAGUAUGAUGAAGCUGUUUUACAAGAUGGUGAGUUCAUGCUCUACUGUAGGCCUUUCUACUUAUAAGGUUCUGCUGAGAAAUCUCUUAGCAGUUGGAAAAUGGAGAAAGUAUGUUGAGGUUUUGCAGUGGAUGGAGGAUGCUGGAGUCCGUCCAACAUUAUAUAUGUAUCAAAAUGUUCUUCCAUAUAUUUGGAGGGACAAUAGCAUGGAUUAUGUCACUCUCAUGCAGCAAAAAAUAAAUGCCUCGAGAGAGAAGAUAACAUGAGCUUUAAACGUGUAUAUGCAUGUCUUUUUGGUGUGAAACAAUUCAAUCGCUAAAUAUGGUGGAUGACACACUGCUGAGUUUGUUUUCUAAGUUGUGCAACAAUGGAUACUCCCUCUGGAAAGAUUGGCAAGAUCAAGGUAAGAUCUAAAUAUAGUCCAGCGAGUGCUUGAAGAAGGAUACAAUAAUUAUAUCAAAGGUUUUAUUAGUCAAAUGCUCAAUGCUGUAAGACGAGGGAAAAUAGACCGUUGAUGCUGCAUGUCCUCAAAUACACCGUAGAACUGUAGUCGCGGGAGAAAUAUGUUUUUGAAUAGAAGUACGGACUACAAUCCAUUUUCCCGACAACGACAUUAUAGAUUAGAACGUGACUGACUUCUGAAUGGUCGCUUAAUAACAAUAGACCCGAAUGAUCCUCCUCAUCUCCUUCCUACGAAAUAAGUCACACGUAGUGUCGGUGUACUAAAAUAUAGGGGUUUUAGUAUCAGACUUGUACACAGGCAGUCACGGCCUUCGGACUGGCAAGACCCUAUCGGUCAACAUCAACCUUCAAGCAAUCAAAAACAAGCUCCCGUUAAGCCACCUUGCCGGGAAGAGGAAAAUCUAACAGCAACCAUGCUCGGCAGGACCCAUUCAGAUCUUCGUCGCUCCAUCUCAUUAGGCUCAUUAGGCUGAUUAUCAGUGAGGUGUUGAGCGGGCAAGCGGUUAGGUGGGUCUAGCUAGGGGCACACAAUCAUUUUUAUGACAUCCGUCCCGUGGUAUGUCAAGCAAAUAGAAGGUAGUUGGGCGAAUGACACUGUCAAGCAAAUAGAAGGUAGUUGGGCGAAUGACACAGAAGAAGCAAUUCUUGCGGGACGCUUACGGUGCAUUUAAUGCGCCUGUCUCUCUUCGUUAGAUUUUUAGGUAUUUUUCAUUGUUGCUUCUGUUAGUAGUUUUGACUGUUAGUUUGUGGACUAUUCAACCACGAAAAGAUCAUUUAGCCACUGUGGUAACCCUUUAGACUAUAAAAGGAGGUCCAUGACUACGUUUAUAA
Molecule: RNA transcript, 3579 nt
Organism: Hordeum vulgare subsp. vulgare (domesticated barley)
Lineage: Eukaryota; Viridiplantae; Streptophyta; Magnoliopsida; Poales; Poaceae
Gene name: pentatricopeptide repeat-containing protein At2g41720
Exons: 11
Source: RefSeq, a predicted model, not a curated record